RNAcentral lists this ribosomal RNA (327 nucleotides) under uncultured eukaryote. RNAcentral describes it as "partial 18S ribosomal RNA". It matches the Rfam family "Eukaryotic small subunit ribosomal RNA", at positions 1470 to 1796 of the family's 1831-position model. The record is from RNAcentral.
CCCUUAGAUGUCCUGGGCCGCACGCGCGCUACACUGACGAAUGCAACGAGCUUAUAACCUUGGCCGAAAGGUCUGGGUAAUCUCCAAAUUUCGUCGUGAUGGGGAUAGAUUAUUGCAAUUAUUAAUCUUCAACGAGGAAUGCCUAGUAAGCGCAAGUCAUCAGCUUGCGUUGAUUACGUCCCUGCCCUUUGUACACACCGCCCGUCGCUCCUACCGAUUGAAUGGUCCGGUGAAGCGCUCGGACCGCGGCCUCUUGACGGUUUUCCGUCGAUUGGCUGUGGGAAGUUCGUUAAACCUUAUCAUUUAGAGGAAGGAGAAGUCGUAACA